GGGCACUUGGCACAGCGGUAGCGCGCAUGCUUCGCAUCUGGAAAUAUGAACAAGUUGCAUGAGGUCGUGAGUUCAAUCCUCACAGUGUCCA
This is a non-coding RNA of Dendrothele bispora CBS 962.96, 91 nucleotides long. The record is from the annotation of a GenBank genome assembly. NCBI's taxonomy places the organism in Eukaryota, Fungi, Basidiomycota, Agaricomycetes, Agaricales.